AUUGAACGCUGGCGGCAUGCUUUACACAUGCAAGUCGAACGGUAACAGGCCGCAAGGUGCUGACGAGUGGCGCACGGGUGAGUAAUGCAUCGGAACGUGCCCAGUCGUGGGGGAUAACUACUCGAAAGAGUAGCUAAUACCGCAUACGAUCUAUGGAUGAAAGCGGGGGACCGCAAGGCCUCGCGCGAUUGGAGCGGCCGAUGUCAGAUUAGGUAGUUGGUGGGGUAAAGGCUCACCAAGCCAACGAUCUGUAGCUGGUCUGAGAGGACGACCAGCCACACUGGAACUGAGACACGGCCCAGACUCCUACGGGAGGCAGCAGUGGGGAAUUUUGGACAAUGGGCGCAAGCCUGAUCCAGCAAUGCCGCGUGCAGGAAGAAGGCCUUCGGGUUGUAAACUGCUUUUGUACGGAACGAAACGGCUCUGGUUAAUACCCGGGGCUAAUGACGGUACCGUAAGAAUAAGCACCGGCUAACUACGUG
This 482-nucleotide ribosomal RNA is filed under the name uncultured bacterium. RNAcentral describes it as "partial 16S ribosomal RNA". It matches the Rfam family "Bacterial small subunit ribosomal RNA", at positions 30 to 507 of the family's 1533-position model. The record is from RNAcentral.